AACGCACAUUGCGCCCGCCAGCACUCUGGCGGGCAUGCCUGUCCGAGCGUCAUUUCCACCCUCAGGCCCCCCGGGGCCUGGCGUUGGGGCAUCUGCGGGCGCCAGCCCGCAGGCCCCCAAGAGCAGCGGCGGACCCGCGGCACCACCGGGCGAAGUAGCACACGCGACGCCCCGGCGGCUGCGGCGGGCCAUCCGGCCGGCAAGCAGACCACUUAAACCACUCAAGGUUGACCUCGGAUCAGGUAGGAAUACCCGCUGAACUUAA
Molecule: unclassified non-coding RNA, 265 nt
Filed under: uncultured fungus
Lineage: Eukaryota; Fungi
Description: partial contains 5.8S ribosomal RNA, internal transcribed spacer 2, and large subunit ribosomal RNA
Source: RNAcentral